AGUGGAUUGAGAGAGAUUGGAGGG
Molecule: microRNA, 24 nt
Filed under: Zea mays
Lineage: Eukaryota; Viridiplantae; Streptophyta; Magnoliopsida; Poales; Poaceae
Description: microRNA miR-3223
Source: RNAcentral